This 75-nucleotide transfer RNA is filed under the name Nitrosopumilus adriaticus. RNAcentral describes it as "tRNA-Met (CAT) (tRNA-Met-CAT-1-1)". It matches the Rfam family "tRNA". From Rfam's summary of the family: Transfer RNA (tRNA) molecules are approximately 80 nucleotides in length. Their secondary structure includes four short double-helical elements and three loops (D, anti-codon, and T loops). Further hydrogen bonds mediate the characteristic L-shaped molecular structure. tRNAs have two regions of fundamental functional importance: the anti-codon, which is responsible for specific mRNA codon recognition, and the 3' end, to which the tRNAs corresponding amino acid is attached (by aminoacyl-tRNA synthetases). tRNAs cope with the degeneracy of the genetic code in two manners: having more than one tRNA (with a specific anti-codon) for a particular amino acid; and 'wobble' base-pairing, i.e. permitting non-standard base-pairing at the 3rd anti-codon position. The record is from RNAcentral. RNAcentral also lists the same sequence under 4 other names. Lineage: Archaea; Thermoproteati; Nitrososphaerota; Nitrososphaeria; Nitrosopumilales; Nitrosopumilaceae.
GCCGGGGUAGCUCAGCCUGGUUAGAGUGCCAGACUCAUAAUCUGGAGGUCGUGGGUUCGAAACCCACCCCCGGCA